AUGCCCCAGAUGAUCCUUGCUGUGCCAUCUGUAACUGAAGUGAAAAAAAUGUGGCAAGUGGAGAUAGAGUUCCUUCACUGCUUGGGCACAUCACCCUUUCUGCAUCAUCUAAAAGUUGUCAUUCUGUGCUGUCUGACAGCACCAUCUGGUUCAGAAUAUAAUAUCUCAGAUCUGGCCAUUUCUAGAGCUGGAUGUGCUGCCACCAUAUAUAACGUGAGUAGCUUUUGCCUUUGUGCUGCAUCUUCCGAAAUUAUAAUGCUGAUGCGGCAUCUUCAGAUGAUCCAAAACCCCAGACCGUUUAAACAGAAGCAAUGAAUAAUUCACAACAGAAACAGAGAAAAGCAAACAAACAAAAGUCAAUGGGCAUCUCCUGGUUGUCUGGGAAAGAAGGGGAUACACAGUAUACUCUGCUGUCAUUUUCAGAGAGUACAGAAUAACCUUUGCCAUCUGAGGAGAACUCUCUGGAGCUCUGCUAGCAGUGGCAGAUCAUUUAGAGGAUCACUGGUUCCAUACCACCCCGUCCUAAUGUGUCAACCUAGAAUGAGCUAUAGCACACAAAACUCUCUCUCUACAGGUAGUCUUCUGGGAAUUAUAACCACUAGAUAUAAAGCCAGUAGUUUUGUGUAGCAUUGCACAGUGUGUUUUGGACUGGGGCAAUCUUAUCUAGCUUCUUAAUUAGGAAAAAAAUUAAUACUCAUAAUAGUGAUUCUUUCAUUAGCAGGCGGGGAAAACUUUACUCUGGAAGAUGAAUGGAGAAAUUCAGUGGAACACUCAAACUGGCUUGCACCACUUUCUGAAAAAAGCAACCAUAAAUCUGAUUUUAUGUGGCGGUAGCAAUAAGCUUCUGACUGCUUUGUCUCAUUAGAGUUGUGGGAAGAAAUUGGAAUAUGUCUCUAGCCUGGCAAACUAGGCCCUCUACCUGUAAAUUAUUAAACCUUAUGUGUGUCAGGUGUGCUCAGAAAGGAAUGAGCCAGGGAACAGAGAGAAAUAAAGGUUGCAUUGUUAGGUGCAGAAGCCAGAAGAGAAAUUAGAGGAAGACAAUCAUAUUUUGUUUUGCUUUAGCUUUAUCUGCUUAUUAGGAAGCAUGGAAUAACAAAACUACCUUUUAGAGGUCAUGGUAACAAAGGGAAAAAAAUGCACUGAGUGCACAGACAGCUGAGUGAAACAUAGAAUGUGUGCUGACUAAUAUGGGCACUGGUUUACUUAUACAUAGGGAGUCAUGCUCAGUCCUAGGACAUCAGUUUUACAUUGUAUUGGAAAUAGAAAAAGAUGCACGCCAGAACUAGCAAACAUGAAGACCUG
Molecule: long non-coding RNA, 1302 nt
Filed under: Corvus moneduloides (New Caledonian crow)
Lineage: Eukaryota; Metazoa; Chordata; Aves; Passeriformes; Corvidae
Description: lncRNA (ENSCMUG00000019761.1)
Source: RNAcentral